AUACAGAGGGUGCAAGCGUUAAUCGGAAUUACUUGGCGUAAAGCGCGCGUAGGCGGUUUAAUCAGUCGGAUGUGAAAGCCCCGGGCUCAACCUGGGAACUGCAUUCGAUACUGUUAAGCUAGAGUAUGGUAGAGGGAAGUGGAAUUCCAGGUGUAGCGGUGAAAUGCGUAGAUAUCUGGAGGAACAUCAGUGGCGAAGGCGACUUCCUGGACCAAUACUGACGCUGAGGUGCGAAAGCGUGGGGAGCAAACAGGAUUAGAAACCAUUGUAGUCC
Molecule: ribosomal RNA, 274 nt
Filed under: uncultured bacterium
Lineage: Bacteria
Description: partial 16S ribosomal RNA
Rfam family: Bacterial small subunit ribosomal RNA
Source: RNAcentral